Molecule: ribosomal RNA, 447 nt
Filed under: uncultured bacterium
Lineage: Bacteria
Description: bacterial SSU rRNA
Rfam family: Bacterial small subunit ribosomal RNA
Source: RNAcentral
AGCGAACGCUGGCGGCGGGCUUAACACAUGCAAGUCGAGCGCUUCACUUCGGUGAAGAGCGGCGGACGGGUGAGUAACACGUAGGUUACCUGCCCCUGGGUGAGGGACAACCGAGGGAAACCUCGGCUAAUACCACAUAUGGUCUACGGAUCAAAGGCUUCGGCCGCCCGGGGAUGGGCCUGCGUCCCAUUAUUUAAUCCUAGUUGGCGGGGUAACGGCCCACCAAGGGUACGAUGGGUAGCUGGUCUGAGAGGAUGAUCAGCCACACUGGAACUGAGACACGGUCCAGACUCCUACGGGAGGCAGCAGUGGGGAAUAUUGCGCAAUGGGCGAAAGCCUGACGCAGCCACGCCGCGUGAGUGAUGAAGGCCCCAGGGUCGUAAAGCUCUGUCGGGGGGGAAGAAGUUCUGACGGUACCCCCCGAAGAAAGCACCGGCUAACUCCGUG